AUACAGAGGGUGCGAGCGUUAAUCGGAAUUACUGGGCGUAAAGCGCGCGUAGGCGGCUUAUUAAGUCAGAUGUGAAAUCCCAGGGCUCAACCUUGGAACUGCAUCUGAUACUGGUAAACUAGUGUUUAGGAGAGGGAAGUAGAAUUUCAGGUGUAGUGGUGAAAUGCAUAGAGAUCUGAAGGAAUACCAGUGGCGAAGGCGACUUCCUGGCCUAAAACUGACGCUGAGGUGCGAAAGCGUGGGUAGCAAACGGGAUUAGAUACCCUAGUAGUCC
Molecule: ribosomal RNA, 274 nt
Filed under: uncultured bacterium
Lineage: Bacteria
Description: partial 16S ribosomal RNA
Rfam family: Bacterial small subunit ribosomal RNA
Source: RNAcentral